CCUCUCAUGGCGUAGUGGUAACGCGCCCCAACUAGAUAUUGGGGAGUCGUGAGUUCGAUUCUCAUUGAGAAGA
Molecule: transfer RNA, 73 nt
Filed under: Aedes aegypti (yellow fever mosquito)
Lineage: Eukaryota; Metazoa; Arthropoda; Insecta; Diptera; Culicidae
Rfam family: tRNA
About the family: Transfer RNA (tRNA) molecules are approximately 80 nucleotides in length. Their secondary structure includes four short double-helical elements and three loops (D, anti-codon, and T loops). Further hydrogen bonds mediate the characteristic L-shaped molecular structure. tRNAs have two regions of fundamental functional importance: the anti-codon, which is responsible for specific mRNA codon recognition, and the 3' end, to which the tRNAs corresponding amino acid is attached (by aminoacyl-tRNA synthetases). tRNAs cope with the degeneracy of the genetic code in two manners: having more than one tRNA (with a specific anti-codon) for a particular amino acid; and 'wobble' base-pairing, i.e. permitting non-standard base-pairing at the 3rd anti-codon position.
Source: Rfam by way of RNAcentral